UACGUAGGCAGCAAGCGUUGUUCGGAAUUACUGGGCGUAAAGGGUGCGUAGGUGGCGGGGCAAGUCUGGUGUGAAAUCCCGGGGCUCAACCCUGGAACUGCACUGGAUACUGCUUUGCUAGAGUACUGGAGAGGGAACUGGAAUUUACGGUGUAGCAGUGAAAUGCGUAGAUAUCGUAAGGAAGACCAGUGGCGAAGGCGAGUUCCUGGACAGUUACUGACACUGAGGCACGAAGGCCAGGGGAGCAAACGGG
Molecule: ribosomal RNA, 253 nt
Filed under: uncultured bacterium
Lineage: Bacteria
Description: partial 16S ribosomal RNA
Rfam family: Bacterial small subunit ribosomal RNA
Source: RNAcentral